Molecule: transfer RNA, 78 nt
Filed under: Halomonas sp. PA5
Lineage: Bacteria; Pseudomonadati; Pseudomonadota; Gammaproteobacteria; Oceanospirillales; Halomonadaceae
Description: tRNA-Arg
Source: RNAcentral
CGUAGCUCAGCUGGAUAGAGUACCUGACUACGAAUCAGGGGGUCGGAGGUUCGAAUCCAGGAUUCGAACCUACGACCA